GUUUCCGUAGUGUAGUGGUUAUCACGUCUGCCUCACACGCAGAAGGUCCCCAGUUCGGGCCUGGGCGGAAACA
This is a non-coding RNA of Nematostella vectensis (starlet sea anemone), 73 nucleotides long. Lineage: Eukaryota; Metazoa; Cnidaria; Anthozoa; Actiniaria; Edwardsiidae. The record is from Rfam.